CGGGUGAGUAAUACAUAAGUAACCUGGCCUUUACAGGGGGAUAACUAUUGGAAACGGUAGCUAAGACCGCAUAGGUGUGAUAACCGCAUGGAGAUGACAUGAAAUAUGCUACGGCAUAGGUAGAGGAUGGACUUAUGGCGCAUUAGCUAGUUGGAGGGGUAACGGCCCACCAAGGCGACGAUGCGUAGCCGACCUGAGAGGGUGACCGGCCACAUUGGGACUGAGACACGGCCCAA
Molecule: ribosomal RNA, 236 nt
Filed under: uncultured bacterium
Lineage: Bacteria
Description: partial 16S ribosomal RNA
Rfam family: Bacterial small subunit ribosomal RNA
Source: RNAcentral